Molecule: ribosomal RNA, 295 nt
Filed under: Clostridioides difficile
Lineage: Bacteria; Bacillati; Bacillota; Clostridia; Peptostreptococcales; Peptostreptococcaceae
Description: partial 16S ribosomal RNA
Rfam family: Bacterial small subunit ribosomal RNA
Source: RNAcentral
CUCUGGACUGUAACUGACGCUGAGGCACGAAAGCGUGGGGAGCAAACAGGAUUAGAUACCCUGGUAGUCCACGCUGUAAACGAUGAGUACUAGGUGUCGGGGGUUACCCCCCUCGGUGCCGCAGCUAACGCAUUAAGUACUCCGCCUGGGAAGUACGCUCGCAAGAGGGAAACUCAAAGGAAUUGACGGGGACCCGCACAAGUAGCGGAGCAUGUGGUUUAAUUCGAAGCAACGCGAAGAACCUUACCUAAGCUUGACAUCCCAAUGACAUCUCCUUAAUCGGAGAGUUCCCUUC